Molecule: long non-coding RNA, 921 nt
Organism: Pistacia vera
Lineage: Eukaryota; Viridiplantae; Streptophyta; Magnoliopsida; Sapindales; Anacardiaceae
Exons: 3
Source: RefSeq, a predicted model, not a curated record
AUAUUAUAGAGAUUCUGUGAAUGACUAAACACUGUGUGCCUCAAGUUUCAACAUCUUGAUGGGGAAACAAGUUGCAGUGAACUGUACAAGCAACAACAAUCUAGUAAUUUACCCUGAUUUUCUUCUUUUUGUGUGCAUAGGUGCAUAGUGUCGAGAAAACUACGAUAAAGCAUUUUUCUCAACCUUUUGACUUCUUCAUUAGACUUAGGUUUAAUGUCUUUUUUUGGUUAUUGGACUUCUUUUUGUUUUUUUGAUUAUGUAGACUAUCUUCUUGUUAUUUCUCCUAUAGGCAUCUAGGCAAUGAGAUAGCUCAUUUGAAGUUUUCUAUUGAAUCUUGUACUAAGGAUAAUAGUGAGAGUUGCUUAAAAAAGCUAGAUUGGUUUAAAAGUGCCAUUGCUCCAACUUCAAUAUGGUGGGAAAAAAAGUGGGCUAUUGAUUUUUUAAUUCUUUGCAUUUUCAAUUUUUGUAUCCUCGGCUGUUUUCUUAUAAUUUCUACUUUGGAAUUUAAGUGUUCGCAUUCAUAUUUUUGUUCUUCAACUUUAUUUUUUGUAAUAAUGUGUGAAUUCUUUGUACAAAGGACAGAUUGUAGAGAUUCUGUGAAUGAAUAAACUCUAUGUGCCUCAAGUUCCAACAUCUUAAUGGGGAAACGAGUUGCAGUGAAUUGUACAAGCAACAACAAACUAGCAUUGGAUACUUUCAACACAGCAGUUGUUUCUCCUAAAUAUUAGGCUAUGUUCACAUCUUUUACAAUAUUUGCUAGUGCAAUAAUGUUUAAGGAUUAUUCUGGUCAAAGUGCAAGUAGCAUAGCAUCAGAGCUUUGUGGGUUUAUCACUGUGUUAUCGGGAACUACUGCAUUGCAUAGCACAAGAGAGCCAGAUCCACAUUUUGUUGUAGUUACAUGUCUCCUGCAUAUCAGUGGGC